GACGAACGCUGGCGGCGUGCUUAACACAUGCAAGUCGAACGGUGAAGCGCCUUCCUUUUUGGUGGGUGUGGAUGAGUGGCGAACGGGUGAGUAACACGUGAGUAACCUGCCCCCUUCUUCUGGAUAACCGCAUGAAAGUGUGGCUAAUACGGGAUAUUCUGGGUCUGUCGCAUGAUGGGUCUGGGAAAGAUAUUGUUUCGGUGGGGGAUGGGCUCGCGGCCUAUCAGCUUGUGGGUGGGGUGAUGGCCUACCAAGGCGGUGACGGGUAGCCGGCCUGGGAGGGUGGCCGGUCAGACUGGGACUGAGACACGGCCGAGACUCCUACGGGAGGCAGCAGUGGGGAAUAUUGCACAAUGGGCGAAAGCCUGAUGCAGCGACGCCGCGUGAGGGAUGGAGGCCUUCGGGUUGUGAACCUCUUUCGCCAGUGAAGCAGGCCUGCCUCGUUUGUGGGUGGGUUGACGGUAGCUGGAUAAGAAGCGCCGGCUAACUACGUG
Molecule: ribosomal RNA, 494 nt
Filed under: uncultured bacterium
Lineage: Bacteria
Description: partial 16S ribosomal RNA
Rfam family: Bacterial small subunit ribosomal RNA
Source: RNAcentral